Molecule: ribosomal RNA, 492 nt
Filed under: uncultured bacterium
Lineage: Bacteria
Description: partial 16S ribosomal RNA
Rfam family: Bacterial small subunit ribosomal RNA
Source: RNAcentral
AGUGAACGCUGGCGGUAGGCCUAACACAUGCAAGUCGAACGGCAGCACAGUAAGAGCUUGCUCUUACGGGUGGCGAGUGGCGGACGGGUGAGGAAUACAUCGGAAUCUACUUUUUCGUGGGGGAUAACGUAGGGAAACUUACGCUAAUACCGCAUACUACCUACGGGUGAAAUCAGGGGAUCUUCGGACCUUGCGCGAUUGAAUGAGCCGAUGUCGGAUUAGCUAGUUGGCGGGGUAAAGGCCCACCAAGGCGACGAUCCGUAGCUGGUCUGAGAGGAUGAUCAGCCACACUGGAACUGAGACACGGUCCAGACUCCUACGGGAGGCAGCAGUGGGGAAUAUUGGACAAUGGGCGCAAGCCUGAUCCAGCCAUACCGCGUGGGUGAAGAAGGCCUUCGGGUUGUAAAGCCCUUUUGUUGGGAAAGAAAAGCAGCAGGUUAAUACCCCGCUGUUCUGACGGUACCCAAAGAAUAAGCACCGGCUAACUUCGUG